RNAcentral lists this unclassified non-coding RNA (339 nucleotides) under uncultured fungus. RNAcentral describes it as "partial contains 5.8S ribosomal RNA and internal transcribed spacer 2". The stretch from base 1 to 134 matches the Rfam family "5.8S ribosomal RNA", at positions 22 to 154 of the family's 154-position model. The record is from RNAcentral. Lineage: Eukaryota; Fungi.
UGGUUCCGGCAUCGAUGAAGAACGCAGCAAAAUGCGAUACGUAGUGUGAAUUGCAGAAUUCAGUGAAUCAUCGAGUCUUUGAACGCACAUUGCGCCUUUUAGUUAUUCUGAAAGGCAUGCCUGUUCGAGCGUCAUUUCUCUCUCAAACCGACCCUUGGUGGGGUUUGGCCUUGGACCGGCCGGCGGACGUCCUCCGCCGGGGUCCCGAAAUGCAAUUGAGGCGACUGAGCACAGUCCGAAGGCACGCGCAUAGUGCCUGGGGCUCGUGGUUCGGUCCCCGCCCAAUGCGAAAACACCCCCCCUUGAAUUGACCCCGGAUCAGGUGAGAAUACCCGCUGA